ACUACACCCUCCCCCACCCACCGCCUCAGCAACCAACCUCCAGGGAGGGGAAAGGGGGCAGAAGUUUGAGUUAAUAACUAAUAGCUAAAGAUGUAAACAAUAAGCCUCCAUAAAACCCCAAAAGGACUGGACUGGGUUCUGAGAGAUUCCAGGUUGUUGAGCACGUGGAGGUUCUGGGAGGGUCCACACCCAGAGAAGGCAUGGAAGCUGACCCCUUCCCCAUACCUUGCUCUUUGCAUCUCUUCCAUUUUGCUGUUCCCGAGUUGUAUACUUUGUAAUAAGUGGGAUUUCCACUCAACAACAAUUCAGCCACACUGCUUCACACAUCUAGAAUCCAUCCAAAAUUGUAAAGGCUUUGUGGCACUACAGUGAAAGAGGGAAGAACAUCUUCCAAACAUCCAGCACAAGAGCACACAGGAGGCCGGCAUAAUCACGAAUUGCAGCUGUCUGAAGGGCAGUCACAUAAAAGAGGAGAAGCUUCACCUUUGCUUCACAAGGCACAUCUUGAACCAGGGAUGGAAAUUACAGAGAGGCCAAAACCAGCUCGGUGUGAGCAGGACUGGUAACAGACUGGCC
This 576-nucleotide long non-coding RNA is filed under the name Pan troglodytes (chimpanzee). Its description in RNAcentral is "lincRNA". The record is from RNAcentral. Lineage: Eukaryota; Metazoa; Chordata; Mammalia; Primates; Hominidae.